AUGAACGCUGGCGGCGUGCCUAAUACAUGCCAGUCGAGCGAACGGACGAGAAGCUUGCUUCUCUGAUGUUAGCGGCGGACGGGUGAGUAACACGUGGAUAACCUACCUAUAAGACUGGGAUAACUUCGGGAAACCGGAGCUAAUACCGGAUAAUAUUUUGAACCGCAUGGUUCAAAAGUGAAAGACGGUCUUGCUGUCACUUAUAGAUGGAUCCGCGCUGCAUUAGCUAGUUGGUAAGGUAACGGCUUACCAAGGCAACGAUGCAUAGCCGACCUGAGAGGAUGAUCGGCCACACUGGAACUGCGACACGGUCCAGACUCCUACGGGAGGCAGCAGUAGGGAAUCUUCCGCAAUGGGCGAAAGCCUGACGGAGCAACGCCGCGUGAGUGACGAAGGUCUUCGGAUCGUAAAACUCUGUUAUUAGGGAAGAGCAUAUGUGUAAGUAACUGUGCACAUCUUGACGGUACCUAAUCAGAAAGCCACGGCUAACUACGUG
Molecule: ribosomal RNA, 496 nt
Filed under: uncultured bacterium
Lineage: Bacteria
Description: partial 16S ribosomal RNA
Rfam family: Bacterial small subunit ribosomal RNA
Source: RNAcentral